UUAGUGAUUAUGAACGGUUGCCUUCUGUGCUGGCUGCGGCAAGUGCACGUUGGUGACUUUCAUCCAACACCCUUGUGAACCUUUGGCCUCUUGCUAGCUUCGGCUGGCUGAGGAUUUACACAAACUCGCAUGUAUUUGAGGACCCAUUAUGUGCGCAAGCACUAAUUAUAUACAACUUUCAACAACGGAUCUCUUGGCUCUCGCAUCGAUGAAGAACGCAGCGAAAUGCGAUAAGUAAUGUGAAUUGCAGAAUUCAGUGAAUCAUCGAAUCUUUGAACGCACCUUGCACCCUUUGGUAUUCCGAAGGGUAUGCUCGUUUGAGUGUCAUUGUACUCUCACACUCCUAAUCGCUUUGGAUUGGGAGCGGUGGACUUGGGUGCUGCUGCUUGACCGUGGCUCACCUGAAAUAUGUUAGUGCACCUCCUGAUUGGACAUAGUACGGCGUGAUAAGUGUCUUCGCCGGCUCCUCGCAAAGAGGGUGGCCGAUUGGGAGCUCUGUGCUUCAAACUGUCUUCGGACAAUCUUCUGGCGACUUGACCUCAAAUCGAGUAGGACUACCCGCUGAACUUAAGCAUAUCAAUAAGCGGAGGAAAAGAAACUAACAAGGAUUCCCUUAGUAACGGCGAGUGAAGAGGGAAGAGCUCAAAUUUUGAAUCUGACGUCUUUGGCGUCCGAGUUGUAAUCUAGAGAAGUGUUUUCCGUUGCGGACCGUGCAUAAGUCUCC
This 724-nucleotide small RNA is filed under the name uncultured Sebacinales. RNAcentral's name for it is "eukaryotic LSU rRNA". The stretch from base 174 to 327 matches the Rfam family "5.8S ribosomal RNA". Lineage: Eukaryota; Fungi; Basidiomycota; Agaricomycetes; Sebacinales. The record is from RNAcentral.